UUACGGUCAUAACAAUUUGAAACAAGUUCUCGUCCGAUCACGUAAGUUAAGCAACGUCGAGCCUGGUCAGUAGAUGGGUGAGCGCUUGGGGAUACCAGGUGCUGUAAG
Non-coding RNA from Acanthosepion pharaonis, 108 nucleotides. The record is from the annotation of a GenBank genome assembly. NCBI's taxonomy places the organism in Eukaryota, Metazoa, Mollusca, Cephalopoda, Sepiida, Sepiidae.